AGAGUUUGAUCUGGGCUCAGGAUGAACGCUGGCGGCAGGCUUAAUACAUGCAAGUCGAACGGUAACGACCGGUAGCAAUACUGGGGCGACGAGUGGCGCACGGGUGCGUAACGCGUAUGCAACCUACCCUCAACCGGGGCAUAACGCCGAGAAAUUGGCGCUAAUAUCCCAUGUGUAUAUGGAGUGGCAUCUCUUCAUAUAUAAAGAUCCGUUGGUUAAGGAUGGGCAUGCGUAACAUUAGCUAGUUGGCGGGGUAACGGCCCACCAAGGCGACGAUGUUUAGGGGUUCUGAGAGGAUUCACCCCCACACUGGAACUGAGACACGGUCCAGACUCCUACGGGAGGCAGCAGUAGGGAAUAUUGGGCAAUGGAGGCAACUCUGACCCAGCCAUGCCGCGUGAAGGAAGACGGCCCUAUGGGUUGUAAACUUCUUUUGCCGCAGAGUAACCGCGGGGACGAGUCCCUGCCUGAGAGUAUGCGGCGAAUAAGUAUCGGCUAACUCCGUGCCAGCAGCCGCGGUAAUACGGAGGAUACGAGCGUUAUCCGGAUUUAUUGGGUUUAAAGGGUGCGCAGGCGGACCGUUAAGUCAGGGGUGAAAAGUUGGGGCUCAACUCCAAUCGUGCCUUUGAUACUGGCGGACUAGAGUGCAGGGGACGUGACUGGAAUGUGAUGUGUAGCGGUGAAAUGCUUAGAUAUGUCACAGAACGCCGAUCGUGAAGACAGGUCACGAAUCUGCAACUGACGCUCAUGCACGAAAGCGUGGGGAUCAAACAGGAUUAGAUACCCUGGUAGUCCACGCUGUAA
RNAcentral lists this ribosomal RNA (804 nucleotides) under uncultured bacterium. RNAcentral's name for it is "bacterial SSU rRNA". It matches the Rfam family "Bacterial small subunit ribosomal RNA", at positions 8 to 805 of the family's 1533-position model. The record is from RNAcentral.